CCGGAUGUGCUCUCCCCACAUAAGUGGGGACUGGAAAGGAAGCUUCGGCCUCCGCAUCGAGAUGGGCCCGCGGCCCAUUAGCUUGUUGGUGAGGUAACGGCUCACCAAGGCUGCGAUGGGUAGCUGGUCUGAGAGGACGAUCAGCCACACUGGGACUGAGACACGGCCCAGACUCCUACGGGAGGCAGCAGUGGGGAAUCUUGCGCAAUGCGCGAAAGCGUGACGCAGCAACGCCGCGUGGGGGAAGAAGGCCUUCGGGUUGUAAACCCCUUUCAGGAGGGACGAAGCCCGGGCGGUGAAUAGCCGACUCGGGUGACGGUACCUCCAGAAGAAGCCCCGGCUAACUACGUGCCAGCAGCCGCGGUAAUACGUAGGGGGCAAGCGUUGUCCGGAAUCAUUGGGCGUAAAGAGCGUGUAGGCGGUCCGGUAAGUCGGCUGUGAAAGUCCAGGGCUCAACUCUGGGAUGCCGGUCGAUACUGCCGGGCUAGAGUUCGGAAGAGGCGAGUGGAAUUCCCGGUGUAGCGGUGAAAUGCGCAGAUAUCGGGAGGAACACCUAUGGCGAAGGCAGCUCGCUGGGACGUUACUGACGCUGAGACGCG
Molecule: ribosomal RNA, 599 nt
Filed under: uncultured bacterium
Lineage: Bacteria
Description: bacterial SSU rRNA
Rfam family: Bacterial small subunit ribosomal RNA
Source: RNAcentral